UACGUAGGGUGCAAGCGUUGUCCGGAAUUAUUGGGCGUAAAGCGCGUGUAGGCGGCUUGUUAAGUCGGGUGUGAAAGCCCUCAGCUCAACUGAGGAAGGGCGCCCGAAACUGGCGAGCUUGAGUGUCGGAGAGGAUGGCGGAAUACCCCAAGUAGAGGUGAAAUUCGUAGAUAUGGGGUGGAACACCGGUGGCGAAGGCGGCCAUCUGGACGACAACUGACGCUGAGACGCGAAAGCGUGGGGAGCAAACAGG
RNAcentral lists this ribosomal RNA (253 nucleotides) under uncultured bacterium. RNAcentral's name for it is "partial 16S ribosomal RNA". It matches the Rfam family "Bacterial small subunit ribosomal RNA", at positions 524 to 776 of the family's 1533-position model. The record is from RNAcentral.